Molecule: transfer RNA, 74 nt
Filed under: Chloroflexi bacterium ADurb.Bin222
Lineage: Bacteria; Bacillati; Chloroflexota
Also listed under: 1 other name
Description: tRNA-Gln
Rfam family: tRNA
About the family: Transfer RNA (tRNA) molecules are approximately 80 nucleotides in length. Their secondary structure includes four short double-helical elements and three loops (D, anti-codon, and T loops).
Source: RNAcentral
UGGGGGCUCGUCUAACGGUAGGACAGCGGACUCUGAAUCCGUAUGUGGGGGUUCGAAUCCUCCGCCCCCAGCCA